UGUGGCCUACGGGAGGCAGCAGUGAGGAAUAUUGGUCAAUGGGCGCGAGCCUGAACCAGCCAAGUCGCGUGAGGGAAGACGGUCCUAUGGAUUGUAAACCUCUUUUGUCAGGGAGCAAGGUGCAGGUCGGGACCUGCUGUGAGAGUACCUGAAGAAAAAGCAUCGGCUAACUCCGUGCCAGCAGCCGCGGUAAUACGGAGGAUGCGAGCGUUAUCCGGAUUUAUUGGGUUUAAAGGGUGCGCAGGCGGAGGCACAAGUCAGCGGUAAAAUCGCG
RNAcentral lists this ribosomal RNA (274 nucleotides) under uncultured bacterium. RNAcentral describes it as "partial 16S ribosomal RNA". It matches the Rfam family "Bacterial small subunit ribosomal RNA", at positions 333 to 604 of the family's 1533-position model. The record is from RNAcentral.